This 253-nucleotide ribosomal RNA is filed under the name uncultured bacterium. RNAcentral describes it as "partial 16S ribosomal RNA". It matches the Rfam family "Bacterial small subunit ribosomal RNA", at positions 524 to 776 of the family's 1533-position model. The record is from RNAcentral.
UACGUAGGGGGCAGGCGUUGUCCGGAUUUAUUGGGCGUAAAGAGCGUGUAGGCGGCCUGGUAGGUCAGCUGUGAAAACUCGAGGCUCAACCUCGAGACGCCGGUUGAAACCAUCAGGCUAGAGUCCGGAAGAGGAGAGUGGAAUUCCCGGUGUAGCGGUGAAAUGCGCAGAUAUCGGGAAGAACACCCGUGGCUAAGGCGGCUCUCUAGUACGGUACUGACGCUGAGACGCGAAAGCGUGGGGAGCGAACAGG